This 486-nucleotide ribosomal RNA is filed under the name uncultured bacterium. RNAcentral describes it as "partial 16S ribosomal RNA". It matches the Rfam family "Bacterial small subunit ribosomal RNA", at positions 28 to 507 of the family's 1533-position model. The record is from RNAcentral.
GAUGAACGCUGGCGGCGUGCCUAAUACAUGCAAGUCGAACGCUGGAACUCUAGCUUGCUAGCUUGAAGGAGUGGCGAACGGGUGAGUAAUACAUAAGCAACCUACCCACGAAGACUGGGAUAAUCUCUGGAAACGGGGACUAAUACCGGAUAGGUAAUCGGAAGGCAUCUUCUGAUUAUUAAAGGUUAAAAACACUGGUGGAUGGGCUUAUGGCGCAUUAGUUAGUUGGUGAGGUAACGGCCCACCAAGACGAUGAUGCGUAGCCGGCCUGAGAGGGUGAACGGCCACAUUGGGACUGAGACACGGCCCAGACUCCUACGGGAGGCAGCAGUAGGGAAUUUGCGGCAAUGGGGGAAACCCUGACCGAGCAACGCCGCGUGAGGGAUGACGGCCUUCGGGUUGUAAAGCUCUGUUGUAAGGGAAGAACGGUAGAUAGAGAAUAUCUAAAUGACGGUACCUUACCAGAAAGCCACGGCUAACUACGUG